RNAcentral lists this unclassified non-coding RNA (397 nucleotides) under Cercozoa sp. Its description in RNAcentral is "partial contains small subunit ribosomal RNA, internal transcribed spacer 1, and 5.8S ribosomal RNA". The stretch from base 1 to 47 matches the Rfam family "Eukaryotic small subunit ribosomal RNA", at positions 1785 to 1831 of the family's 1831-position model. The record is from RNAcentral. Lineage: Eukaryota; Cercozoa.
AAAGUCGUAACAAGGUUUCCGUAGGUGAACCUGCGGAAGGAUCAUUAACACGUAUCCAACGUUAAACAACCCUGUGAACCUUCAGCGUGCUCUUGCCACACAUGUGCCGCAAUCUCUGGUAAAUCAUUGUUGACCAGCGUUUGAGUCAGGGACCUCGGCAGGUAUGUGUGUCAAUCGAGUGCAAGGGCAAUUGGCUUGGGUCGCUUCACCUAGAAGUGACUACUUAUUACCCUCUUAUAAAGUUCCAUCACGGAGCGGGGACCGAGCCUAAAACGUGUUUUUACACCUAUUAAACCCCCCCUACUAGACCUUGGGCACGCCGCCUGUACGUCCUAUCAAAACACCAUUUAGGACAAAAGCAAACGAACAACUGUUAACAAUGGAUAUCUUGGUUCUC